GGUGGUGCAUGGCUGUCGUCAGCUCGUGCCGUAAGGUGUUGGGUUAAGUCUCGCAACGAGCGCAACCCUCGUGUUUAGUUGCCACUAUGAGUUUGGAACCCUGAACAGACCGCCGGUGUUAAGCCGGAGGAAGGAGAGGAUGAGGUCCUUAGCUCC
Molecule: ribosomal RNA, 156 nt
Filed under: Triticum aestivum (bread wheat)
Lineage: Eukaryota; Viridiplantae; Streptophyta; Magnoliopsida; Poales; Poaceae
Also listed under: 1 other name
Description: rRNA SSU_rRNA_eukarya
Rfam family: Bacterial small subunit ribosomal RNA
Source: RNAcentral